RNAcentral lists this ribosomal RNA (69 nucleotides) under Terribacillus saccharophilus. The record is from RNAcentral. Lineage: Bacteria; Bacillati; Bacillota; Bacilli; Caryophanales; Bacillaceae.
UCUGGUGGUAAUAGCGAAGAGGUCACACCUGUUCCCAUGCCGAACACAGUAGUUAAGCUCUUCAGCGCC